UGCAGUCGAACGGUAACAGGUCUUCGGAUGCUGACGAGUGGCGAACGGGUGAGUAAUACAUCGGAACGUGCCCGAUCGUGGGGGAUAACGCAGCGAAAGCUGUGCUAAUACCGCAUACGAUCUACGGAUGAAAGCGGGGGAUCGCAAGACCUCGCGCGGACGGAGCGGCCGAUGGCAGAUUAGGUAGUUGGUGGGGUAAAGGCUCACCAAGCCUUCGAUCUGUAGCUGGUCUGAGAGGACGACCAGCCACACUGGGACUGAGACACGGCCCAGACUCCUACGGGAGGCAGCAGUGGGGAAUUUUGGACAAUGGGCGCAAGCCUGAUCCAGCCAUGCCGCGUGCAGGAUGAAGGCCUUCGGGUUGUAAACUGCUUUUGUACGGAACGAGAAGGUCUUUUUUAAUAAAGAGGGCCCAUGACGGUACCGUAAGAAUAAGCACCGGCUAACUACGUGCCAGCAGCCGCGGUAAUACGUAGGGUGCAAGCGUUAAUCGGAAUUACUGGGCGUAAAGCGUGCGCAGGCGGUAAUGUAAGACAGAUGUGAAAUCCCCGGGCUCAACCUGGGAACUGCAUUUGUGACUGCAUUGCUGGAGUGCGGCAGAGGGGGAUGGAAUUCCGCGUGUAGCAGUGAAAUGCGUAGAUAUGCGGAGGAACACCGAUGGCGAAGGCAAUCCCCUGGGCCUGCACUGACGCUCAUGCACGAAAGCGUGGGGAGCAAACAGGAUUAGAUACCCUGGUAGUCCACGCCCUAAACGAUGUCAACUGGUUGUUGGGUCUUCAUUGACUCAGUAACGAAGCUAACGCGUGAAGU
Molecule: ribosomal RNA, 810 nt
Filed under: uncultured bacterium
Lineage: Bacteria
Description: bacterial SSU rRNA
Rfam family: Bacterial small subunit ribosomal RNA
Source: RNAcentral